AGCGAACGCUGGCGGCAGGCCUAACACAUGCAAGUCGAACAGGCCCUUCGGGGUUAGUGGCGCACGGGUGAGUAACACGUGGGAAUCGUGCCUUUAGGUUCGGAAUAGCUCUUAGAAACGGGUGGUAAUGCCGAAUGAUCCUUAGGAGCAAAGAUUUAUCGCCCUAAGAUCAGCCCGCGUAUGAUUAGCUAGUUGGUGAGGUAAUGGCUCACCAAGGCUACGAUCAUUAGCUGGUCUGAGAGGAUGAUCAGCCACACUGGGACUGAGACACGGCCCAAACUCCUACGGGAGGCAGCAGUGGGGAAUCUUGCGCAAUGGGCGAAAGCCUGAUGCAGCCAUGCCGCGUGAAUGAUGAAGGUCUUAGGAUUGUAAAAUCCUUUCACCCGUGAAGAUAAUGACAGUACCCGGAGAAGAAGCCCCGGCUAACUUCGUGCCAGCAGCCGCGGUAAUACGAAGGGGGCUAGCGUUGCUCGGAAUUACUGGGCGUAAAGGGAGCGUAGGCGGACAUUUAAGUCAGAGGUGAAAUCCCAGAGCUCAACUCUGGAACUGCCUUUGAUACUGGAUGUCUUGAGUCUAGUAGAGGUCAGUGGAAUCCGAGUGUAGAGGUGAAAUUCGUAGAUAUUCGGAAGAACACCAGUGGCGAAGGCGACAUACUGGAUCAUUACUGA
This 668-nucleotide ribosomal RNA is filed under the name Brevundimonas sp. AH003. RNAcentral's name for it is "bacterial SSU rRNA". It matches the Rfam family "Bacterial small subunit ribosomal RNA", at positions 28 to 743 of the family's 1533-position model. Lineage: Bacteria; Pseudomonadati; Pseudomonadota; Alphaproteobacteria; Caulobacterales; Caulobacteraceae. The record is from RNAcentral.